GGGCAGAUACCCAAGUGGCCAAAGGGGACUGACUGUAAAUCAGUUGGCUCAGCCUUCGGAGGUUCGAAUCCUUCUCUGCCCACCU
RNAcentral lists this transfer RNA (85 nucleotides) under Chloroflexota bacterium. Its description in RNAcentral is "Chloroflexi bacterium (hot springs metagenome) tRNA-Tyr". It matches the Rfam family "tRNA". From Rfam's summary of the family: Transfer RNA (tRNA) molecules are approximately 80 nucleotides in length. Lineage: Bacteria; Bacillati; Chloroflexota. The record is from RNAcentral.